RNAcentral lists this ribosomal RNA (497 nucleotides) under uncultured bacterium. Its description in RNAcentral is "partial 16S ribosomal RNA". It matches the Rfam family "Bacterial small subunit ribosomal RNA", at positions 28 to 507 of the family's 1533-position model. The record is from RNAcentral.
GAUGAACGCUGGCGGCGUGCCUAAUACAUGCAAGUCGAGCGAACGGACGAGAAGCUUGCUUCUCUGAUGUUAGCGGCGGACGGGUGAGUAACACGUGGAUAACCUACCUAUAAGACUGGGAUAACUUCGGGAAACCGGAGCUAAUACCGGAUAAUAUUUUGAACCGCAUGGUUCAAAAGUGAAAGACGGUCUUGCCGUCACUUAUAGAUGGAUCCGCGCUGCAUUAGCUAGUUGGUAAGGUAACGGCUUACCAAGGCAACGAUGCAUAGCCGACCUGAGAGGGUGAUCGGCCACACUGGAACUGAGACACGGUCCAGACUCCUACGGGAGGCAGCAGUAGGGAAUCUUCCGCAAUGGGCGAAAGCCUGACGGAGCAACGCCGCGUGAGUGAUGAAGGCCUUCGGAUCGUAAAACUCUGUUAUUAGGGAAGAACAUAUGUGUAAGUAACUGUGCACAUCUUGACGGUACCUAAUCAGAAAGCCACGGCUAACUACGUG